UCCCCUAGUAACUGCGAGUGAAGCGGGAAAAGCUCAAAUUUGAAAUCUGGCAGUCUUUUUUUUCUUCUUUGGCUGUCCGAGUUGUAAUCUAGAGAAGUGCUUACCUGUGCUGGACCAUGUAUAAGUCUCCUGGAAUGGAGCGUCACAGAGGGUGAGAAUCCCGUCUUUGACAUGGACUGCCAGUGCGUUGUGGUGUGCUCUCAAAGAGUCGAGUUGUUUGGGAAUGCAGCUCUAAAUGGGUGGUAAACUCCAUCUAAAGCUAAAUAUUGGCGAGAGACCGAUAGCGAACAAGUACCGUGAGGGAAAGAUGAAAAGGACUUUGGAAAGAGAGUUAAACAGUAUGUGAAAUUGUUGAAAGGGAAACGCUUGAAGUCAGUUAUGUUGGUUAGGGAUCAACCUAGCUAUUUGCUGGGUGAAUUUCCUAGUCUGACAGGCCAACAUCAGUCUUGACUGUUGGAAAAGAGCAGAGGGAAUGUGGCACCUUUGGGUGUGUUAUAGCCCUUUGUCAUAUGUGGCAGUUGGGACUGAGGAAUGCAGCGUGCCGCGAGGCUGGGUUUCGACCACGUUCACGCUUAGGAUGUUGGCUUUUAAUGGCUUUAAUCGACCCGUCUUGAAACACGGACCAAGGAGUCUAACAUGCCUGCGAGUGUUUGGGUGGAAAACCCUUGUGCACAAUGAAAGUGAAAGUUGAGAUCCCUGUCAUGGGGAGCAUCGACGCCCGGACUUGAGCUUUU
This 734-nucleotide ribosomal RNA is filed under the name Amanita vaginata. RNAcentral describes it as "LSU rRNA". It matches the Rfam family "Eukaryotic large subunit ribosomal RNA", at positions 76 to 780 of the family's 3401-position model. The record is from RNAcentral. Lineage: Eukaryota; Fungi; Basidiomycota; Agaricomycetes; Agaricales; Amanitaceae.